AAGUGGAGGUGUGAUCUCUUCACUUUUUCAAUUUAAAGUGAGAUUCAACUCCUCCAACUUAA
This 62-nucleotide microRNA precursor is filed under the name Heliconius melpomene (postman butterfly). RNAcentral's name for it is "Hme-Mir-1175_pre stem-loop". It matches the Rfam family "mir-1175 microRNA precursor family", at positions 7 to 68 of the family's 72-position model. The record is from RNAcentral. Lineage: Eukaryota; Metazoa; Arthropoda; Insecta; Lepidoptera; Nymphalidae.